RNAcentral lists this ribosomal RNA (439 nucleotides) under uncultured bacterium. RNAcentral describes it as "partial 16S ribosomal RNA". It matches the Rfam family "Bacterial small subunit ribosomal RNA", at positions 338 to 795 of the family's 1533-position model. The record is from RNAcentral.
CCUACGGGGGACAGCAGUGGGGGAUAUUGCACAAUGGAGGAAACUCUGAUGCAGCGACGCCGCGUGAGGGACGAAGGUCUUCGGAUUGUAAAACUCUGUCUUUGGGGAAGAAAAUGACGGUACCCAAAGAGGAAGCUCCGGCUAACUACGUGCCAGCAGCCGCGGUAAUACGUAGGGAGCGCGCGUUGUCCGGAAUUACUGGGUGUAAAGGGGGCGUAGGCGGGCGGGAAAGUUGAAUGUUAAAUCUACCGGCUUAACUGGUAGCUGCGUUCAAAAAUUCUUGUCUUGAGUGAAGUAGAGGCAGGCGGAAUGCCUAGUGUAGCGGUGAAAUGCGGAGAUAUUAGGAAGAACACCAGUUGCGAAGGCGGCUCUCUGGUCUGCAACUGACGCUGAGGCUCGAAAGCAUGGGUAGCGAACAGGAUUAGAUACCCUUGUAGUC